This 591-nucleotide long non-coding RNA is filed under the name Trifolium pratense (red clover). RNAcentral's name for it is "long non-coding RNA (TPRA_LNC003373)". The record is from RNAcentral. Lineage: Eukaryota; Viridiplantae; Streptophyta; Magnoliopsida; Fabales; Fabaceae.
CAUUCCAGUUAUCUUCCAUUAAUAAUAUUGUUAAAACUGUUGAUAGCACAAUGAAAGUACCACCAUUCACUCAAUCUGAUAAUAAUGAGGCAAAAAAAAGUUUUAAGACAACAAAAAACCACAAGCACAAAGAUGAAAUAUGGAAGGCUAUGUGACAGUGUAUUUCGCUUAACUCAUUGACAAAGCAAAUUUACUAAAAAUGAAUGGAACUUAAAACUUUUAAAACACAAAUAAAUUAAGAUAGCAACACGGGAUGUUCAAAUACAUAAGACAAUCAAGUAAUGUAGCAGCCACAAAACUCAAUCAUCAACAAAAUGAAAACUAAUUUAACCAUUGAGCCANNNNNNNNNNNNNNNNNNNNNNCAUGUUAAUCCAUUAAGUAUCUUUUUAAAACAUAUCCAUAAAUUGUUUCAGGAGGUGGAUAAUGGAUAUAUCUAAUUAUAUUUGCAUACAUUUUCAAUAAACAUAGUUUUAUUAACCUCACGCCAUUUGCAGAAACGGGACCUCCAUUAAAGCUCAAACGGAGGAUUUCGACAAAAUCAUUUUGGCCUCAAAAAUCACAAACUAAUACACUAUUUCGCUUGAUUUUUC